This 301-nucleotide ribosomal RNA is filed under the name uncultured bacterium. Its description in RNAcentral is "partial 16S ribosomal RNA". It matches the Rfam family "Bacterial small subunit ribosomal RNA", at positions 509 to 807 of the family's 1533-position model. The record is from RNAcentral.
CAGUAGCCGCGGUAAAACAGAGGGUGCGAGCGUUAAUCGGAUUUACUGGGCGUAAAGCGUGCGUAGGCGGCUUCUUAAGUCGGAUGUGAAAUCCCUGAGCUUAACUUAGGAAUUGCAUUCGAUACUGGGAAGCUAGAGUAUGGGAGAGGAUGGUAGAAUUCCAGGUGUAGCGGUGAAAUGCGUAGAGAUCUGGAGGAAUACCGAUGGCGAAGGCAGCCAUCUGGCCUAAUACUGACGCUGAGGUACGAAAGCAUGGGGAGCAAACAGGAUUAGAUACCCCGGUAGUCCCUGUCUCUUAUAC